CUUCGGCAAGAUCGCGCUGGUGCCCCGCAAGGGGCUUAAUAGGGAACACGGUGAGGACUUCUUGUCCGAAUCCGAGGCUGUCCCUGCAACUGUAAGCGGCGAGCGCGAUGCACAUGUGCGGCGGGACAAGGUUCCACGCCGCCAGCCACUGGGCCGGACGCUAAGUCAUGCGAGGCCUGGGAAGGCCGUGCAUCGACGCAUUGACCCGUGAGCCAGGAGACCUGCCCGCGCAUGGUCGCUCUU
RNAcentral lists this non-coding RNA (243 nucleotides) under Novosphingobium sp. AP12. RNAcentral also lists the same sequence under 1 other name. The record is from RNAcentral. Lineage: Bacteria; Pseudomonadati; Pseudomonadota; Alphaproteobacteria; Sphingomonadales; Sphingomonadaceae.